GAACUCAAAUUAUACCUGAAUACCCCCUGGAUUUAAACCUUUUAAUUAACCGAGGAAAAAAAACCUACCCGG
RNAcentral lists this ribosomal RNA (72 nucleotides) under Phlebotomus papatasi. RNAcentral describes it as "partial 28S ribosomal RNA". Lineage: Eukaryota; Metazoa; Arthropoda; Insecta; Diptera; Psychodidae. The record is from RNAcentral.